AACCAGGCCUAAAGGCAGGAGGUCCUAGGUUCAAAUCUGACCUCUUUUAGGAUAAUAAUAAAUAUCUGUGGGUUAAAUUGAACAACCAAUGGGUAAAAUAACUCCUAAGUGGUUUGGGGUAAAGUGAGGAAUGGGGAAAUGGACUAGAGGGGGACACCUCCGCCAGAAAAACAGCUGGUUUUACCACAGUGGGUUCUUGAUCUGUGCCAGGUUUGUCUGGGAAAGGAAGAGAGACAAGGAAGGUCUGUAUAACAGGGUUUAAUAACAAAUUGGGAUGGAGAUUGAAGGGAAGUAGGAAAACUAACAUUCAGGUCUAGUGAAAACUACCAGGGGAUAGAGGGAUGAACACAGACUACACUAAACUAAAUCUGAGUGUCUGACUUGACAGGGUAAGGGGAUAUCACGAAGAUGUCCUUGUCUGAUCUCCGGAUGUCACAGCUGGUCACUGGAAAUCAGGAUACACAGCAAGAUAAAAUCAACAGGUGAAGAGAAGGAGAUGAGAUAAUCUGUGUAUGUCCACCACACCAGAUAAAUCUACUUCUCAACCUACAGCUUCACUGGUCUUGAUUGAAGAUGUAAUGUCCACAUCCAAGGAAAACAACUCCAGAGUAUUAAAUCCCCAAAAGACGCAGGCUCACCCUGACAGCUGCUCCAAACCCAACUGUCAGCCUCCAGAAUCUCUGUAUUUUUUGUGCAUUUCUAAAUUUCUAAACUUUGCGUCAUUGCUGGCCUUUAUCUGUCACAUGUGGCUUCCAAAAAACUCCCCUAAAAUUCUCAUUUAAUUUCUCCUGCCAACCUGAAAUAUCUUGAAAUUGCCUUGGAGAAAGCCAUGCCUGCAGAUCCUUGGUGAAAAGUGGGUCAAUGAGAGUUACAUGAAAUUUGUAGAUUGUUCUUCAAAACCAGAAAGAACUUCCAACUAUUCCACUUCUUCUAAUGGAACUGGAAUGUGCUAUCUAAUAAAUUCUUUAUCCCUGAAAGUGUUCAAGCACCGACCAACUGAACAUAUGUUAGGGAUUCCUACAAUUUGUGGAUUCUGAUGACCUCCAAGAUCCUUUUCCAUUCUAAGACUAUUUUGAAGUUGGGAAUGAGCCUCUUUCCUACUAGCAUGGAUAGAACUAGAAGAGGCUACAGAGGCCAUCUAAUUCAGCUCUUCAUUUUACAGAUGAGGAAACUGAAACACAGAGUUGAAGUGAAUUGCCUAUAGUCACACAGGGAGUCAGCAAGGGAGAGUGGAGAUUUGAACUCAGGCCCUCUAAUUCCAGAGCCAAUGUUUUCUCCACUGUACCAAGAGAAAUAAAUUAAUUAUAGAGGACAGAUAGACAUAGAAUAAAUCUAGAACAGAGCUGAAAGUCAAAAAGAAAUAAGAUGUCCAAGACUUCAUAUUUUGCUGUUGCAUUAAAUUUUCAAUGUCAAUUUUAUAGCAA
This is a long non-coding RNA of Gracilinanus agilis (Agile Gracile Mouse Opossum), 1424 nucleotides long. RefSeq lists it as uncharacterized. The transcript is spliced from 2 exons. The record is from RefSeq and is a predicted model, not a curated record. NCBI's taxonomy places the organism in Eukaryota, Metazoa, Chordata, Mammalia, Didelphimorphia, Didelphidae.